CCUACGGGUGGCUGCAGUGGGGGAUAUUGCACAAUGGGGGGAACCCUGAUGCAGCGACGCCGCGUGGGUGAAGAAGCGCCUCGGCGCGUAAAGCCCUGUCAGCAGGGAAGAAAAUGACGGUACCUGAAGAAGAAGCCCCGGCUAACUACGGGCCAGCAGCCGCGGUAAUACGUAGGGGGAAAGCGUGAGCCGGAUUUACUGGGUGUAAAGGGGGCGCAGACGGGGGUGCAAGGCGGGGGUGAAAGCCCGGGGCCCAACCCCGGGACUGCUCUUGAAACUGGGGGGCUGGAGUGCAGGAGGGGGAGGCAGAAUUCCUGGUGUAGCGGUGAAAUGCGUAGAGAUCAGGAGGAAAACCGGUGGCGAAGGCGGCCUGCUGGACAGCAACUGACGUUGAGGUCCGAAAGCGUGGGGAGCAAACAGGAUUAGAUACCCUAGUAGUC
Molecule: ribosomal RNA, 440 nt
Filed under: uncultured bacterium
Lineage: Bacteria
Description: partial 16S ribosomal RNA
Rfam family: Bacterial small subunit ribosomal RNA
Source: RNAcentral